RNAcentral lists this unclassified non-coding RNA (249 nucleotides) under uncultured Pleosporales. RNAcentral describes it as "sequence contains ITS2". Lineage: Eukaryota; Fungi; Ascomycota; Dothideomycetes; Pleosporales. The record is from RNAcentral.
AACGCACAUUGCGCCCCUUGGUAUUCCAUGGGGCAUGCCUGUUCGAGCGUCAUUUGUACCCUCCAGCCCUGCUGGGUGUUGGGCGUUUUGUUCCGCUAUGCGCGUGAACUCGCCUCAAAUGCAUUGGCAGCCCGCCGUCCCGUGUGGGAGCGCAGCACAUUUUGCGCUCUCCGCUGCUGACGGUGGCAUCCACAAGUCUAUUAUUUUACGCUUGACCUCGGAUCAGGUAGGGAUACCCGCUGAACUUAA